Molecule: transfer RNA, 73 nt
Filed under: archaeon
Lineage: Archaea
Also listed under: 1 other name
Description: tRNA-Met
Rfam family: tRNA
About the family: Transfer RNA (tRNA) molecules are approximately 80 nucleotides in length. Their secondary structure includes four short double-helical elements and three loops (D, anti-codon, and T loops).
Source: RNAcentral
GCCUCGGUGGCUUAGUGGUUAAAGCGCCAGACUCAUAAUCUGGAGACCGCCAGUUCAAAUCUGGCUCGAGGCA